Pantherophis guttatus is the source of this 449-nucleotide long non-coding RNA. RefSeq lists it as uncharacterized. Lineage: Eukaryota; Metazoa; Chordata; Lepidosauria; Squamata; Colubridae. The record is from RefSeq and is a predicted model, not a curated record.
UCUGUUCAGUGUUGUGUUAGGGAGGAUCAGCCAGAGAAUUACCAUUAGACAAACUGGGGACAAUCUUCUACAACAGGCGUGUCAAACUUGUGGCCCUGCAGCCCAGAUGCAUCAUGCGCUGGCCACACCCAUCCAUUUUAGCAAAGGGGAAAAAAGUUGCGGUGACGACAAUGUGACGCCGCCAAUGGAAGACACUUUUGCAGUGUAAGAUUGUCUUCAUAGUCCUUCCCAUGGAUUUUAAGUUCUUGUUGAGAUGUCAAAGGCAAGAGUGCUCUUUAUGCAACUCAGAGCUGCUCAUCUCACUGAAAGCAAUUCUGGAUAGCAACCUGGAAGUGCCUUGAAAGUUAUGCAGAUGAAGGAGAAGCUGUGAAUAGCAACUGGAAUGAAGAGAAGGACUCCAAGAAAAAGAUAAAUUCAAGGAGAUAAAGCUCCAUAAAAUGUAAAACAAA